Molecule: ribosomal RNA, 453 nt
Filed under: uncultured bacterium
Lineage: Bacteria
Description: bacterial SSU rRNA
Rfam family: Bacterial small subunit ribosomal RNA
Source: RNAcentral
UACGGAAGGCAGCAGUGGGGAAUAUUGCACAAUGGGCGCAAGCCUGAUGCAGCCAUGCCGCGUGUAUGAAGAAGGCCUUCGGGUUGUAAAGUACUUUCAGUCGUGAGGAAGGUGUUAAGGUUAAUAACCUUAGCAAUUGACGUUAGCGACAGAAGAAGCACCGGCUAACUCCGUGCCAGCAGCCGCGGUAAUACGGAGGGUGCGAGCGUUAAUCGGAAUUACUGGGCGUAAAGGGCACGCAGGCGGUUAAUUAAGUUGGAUGUGAAAUCCCCGGGCUUAACCUGGGAAUGGCAUUCAAGACUGGUUAGCUAGAGUCUUGUAGAGGGGGUAGAAUUCCAUGUGUAGCGGUGAAAUGCGUAGAGAUGUGGAGAAAUACCGGUGGCGAAGGCGGCCCCUGGGACAAAGACUGACGCUCAUGUGCGAAAGCGUGGGGAGCAAACAGGAUUAGAUACC